This 93-nucleotide microRNA precursor is filed under the name Lepisosteus oculatus (spotted gar). RNAcentral's name for it is "miRNA (ENSLOCG00000019203.1)". The stretch from base 10 to 77 matches the Rfam family "mir-33 microRNA precursor family". The record is from RNAcentral. Lineage: Eukaryota; Metazoa; Chordata; Actinopteri; Semionotiformes; Lepisosteidae.
GGGGGGCGGCUGUGGUGCAUUGUAGUUGCAUUGCAUGAUCCUGCAGCACAGUGCAAUGUGUCUCCAGUGCAGUACAGAGGCCCUCCGCAUCUC